UACGGGGGGGGUAAGCGUUGUUCGGAAUUACUGGGCGUAAAGGGCGCGUAGGCGGCCAUCUAAGUCAGACGUGAAAUCCCCCGGCUUAACCUGGGAACUGCGUCUGAUACUGGACGGCUUGAGUAUGGGAGAGGGAUGUAGAAUUCCAGGUGUAGCGGUGAAAUGCGUAGAUAUCUGGAGGAACACCGGUGGCGAAGGCGGCGUUCUGGACUGCAACUGACACUGAGGAACGAAAGCCAGGGGAGCAAACGGG
Molecule: ribosomal RNA, 253 nt
Filed under: uncultured bacterium
Lineage: Bacteria
Description: partial 16S ribosomal RNA
Rfam family: Bacterial small subunit ribosomal RNA
Source: RNAcentral